RNAcentral lists this long non-coding RNA (987 nucleotides) under Equus caballus (horse). RNAcentral describes it as "lncRNA (ENSECAG00000059090.1)". The record is from RNAcentral. Lineage: Eukaryota; Metazoa; Chordata; Mammalia; Perissodactyla; Equidae.
AGGGCGCAGGCGGUGCGGUCUGGAGGGUGGAGAACGCAAGAGUGAAGGCUCCACGGCUUCUGAGCCCUUAGGAGGGCGCGAGGAAGACACAUUGUGCAGCUCACAGAUGCCAAAACAGGCUCAGAAGAGAAAUUAGUAGCUCGAGGCCAUGGGCGGGAGAGGCAGGAGCCAGGGCAGGGACGGGUGCUUUCUGCAGCUCCGAAGGCCUCUCCCAAGUGUCCGAAUCGCGGAGGCUCGUUGGCUCUCAGCAUCGCUGCAUCCAUCGCUGUACCCUCCGCCAUCUCCGUGGAUCCGAUUCUGGUUUUGCUCGGGCUUCUCUGCCUUCCUCCGUCUCUUGAUCACCGUUCCUGCCUGUCUCCGCCCUGUCUGGUCUCUCGCUCUCUCUUUCCCGGAGCUGCCGAGCUGGGGGUGAAAUCCGAGGUUCCCCACCUCCACAGGCACCACGGGCCUCCCUCCAUCCGCGGGGCAGGGCGGACCUCCCUCCCGCGUUCCGCAUCCUCCUGCAGGAGAGGAAUUUGCAAGACCAGAGGAAUGCCCCAGACUCCCUGAUGCUUCGGCCCGAGUACUUGGGGCGCCCCGAACCCACUGCAGAGCCGAGCCCCUCGCUGUGGCCCGGCCAGAAGCCUCGGCGAGGGCUGAACCCACAGUUUCUGAGCUGGAGAACAGCGUGCCCAUUUUAAAGCCAACAAACCGAGGCUCAGAAAAAAAUGGCUUUCCGCCUUCAGCUGGUGACACAGCUUGAAGCCGGGUCUGUUUUCUUCUCUGAGAGAUCUGAGGUCCUUGACAUUUGAUAAAUUCAUGGAAAUACUGGACAGUUUUCAAGGCUCUCAAGAAGGUGGGCAGGAGGAGGGGAGGAGUGUAGUUAAGUGCUGGACCGCAAACCCAUUUCGUGGAUUGGGGGCGGGGUUAGGAGGCGGUUCCACCGAAUACCGCCAGCAUCCGAUGUAUUUUAACGCAUCUCGUCUUUUGAAAGCGCGAUGAGACCGC